RNAcentral lists this ribosomal RNA (539 nucleotides) under Salmonella enterica subsp. enterica serovar London. RNAcentral's name for it is "partial 23S ribosomal RNA". It matches the Rfam family "Bacterial large subunit ribosomal RNA", at positions 1265 to 1787 of the family's 2925-position model. The record is from RNAcentral. Lineage: Bacteria; Pseudomonadati; Pseudomonadota; Gammaproteobacteria; Enterobacterales; Enterobacteriaceae.
GAGGCAUGCUGGAGGUAUCAGAAGUGCGAAUGCUGACAUAAGUAACGAUAAAGCGGGUGAAAAGCCCGCUCGCCGGAAGACCAAGGGUUCCUGUCCAACGUUAAUCGGGGCAGGGUGAGUCGACCCCUAAGGCGAGGCCGAAAGGCGUAGUCGAUGGGAAACGGGUUAAUAUUCCCGUACUUGGUGUUACUGCGAAGGGGGGACGGAGAAGGCUAUGUUGGCCGGGCGACGGUUGUCCCGGUUUAAGCGUGUAGGUGUGUGUUCCAGGUAAAUCCGGUUCACUUUAACACUGAGGCGUGAUGACGAGGCACUACGGUGCUGAAGCAACAAAUGCCCUGCUUCCAGGAAAAGCCUCUAAGCAUCAGGUAACAUCAAAUCGUACCCCAAACCGACACAGGUGGUCAGGUAGAGAAUACCAAGGCGCUUGAGAGAACUCGGGUGAAGGAACUAGGCAAAAUGGUGCCGUAACUUCGGGAGAAGGCACGCUGACACGUAGGUGAAGUGAUUUACUCACGGAGCUGAAGUCAGUCGAAGAUACC